CCAGGUUGAUUCUGCCUGACGUAGACGCUAUUCCCUAAGAUUAACCCAUGCAUGUUAUUGAUUUUUGAAAAAUGGACUGCUCAGUAAUACUCACUUUAUUUUAUGUAUACUUAUUAUAACUACGUUAAAGUGUAGAUAAAAUGUAUACAGUAAGAGUGAGACCUAUCAGCUAGUUGUUAAGGUAAUGGCUUAACAAGGCAGUGACGGGUAACGGUAUUACUUUGUAAUAUUCCGGAGAAGGAGCCUGGGAGACGGCUACUAAGUCUAAGGAUUGCAGCAGGGGCGAAACUUGACCUAUGGAUUUUAUCUGAGGCAGUUAUGGGAAGUAAUAUUAUAUUGUUUCAUAUUUUAAAAGUAUAUGAGGUGAUUAAUUGGAGGGCAAAUCAAGUGCCAGCAGCCGCGGUAAUACUUGUUCCAAGAGUGUGUAUGAUGAUUGAUGCAGUUAAAAAGUCCGUAGUUUAUUUUUAAGAAGCAAUAUGAGGUGUACUGUAUAGUUGGGAGAGAGGUGAAAUGUGACGACCCUGACUGGACGAACA
This 536-nucleotide ribosomal RNA is filed under the name Nosema sp. C PSH-2011. RNAcentral's name for it is "SSU rRNA". It matches the Rfam family "Microsporidia small subunit ribosomal RNA", at positions 1 to 594 of the family's 1311-position model. The record is from RNAcentral. Lineage: Eukaryota; Fungi; Microsporidia; Nosematidae.